GCUUACGACCACACCGGCCUGAGUACGCCUGAUCGCCCUGAUCUCGGAAGCUAACCAUGGUUGGGCCUGGUUAGUACUUGGAUGGGAGACCGCCUGGGAAUACCAGGUGCUGUAAGCU
Oncorhynchus tshawytscha (Chinook salmon) is the source of this 118-nucleotide ribosomal RNA. The record is from Ensembl. NCBI's taxonomy places the organism in Eukaryota, Metazoa, Chordata, Actinopteri, Salmoniformes, Salmonidae.